GAAGAGAGAGUUAAAGAGGACGUGAAACCGAUAAGAUGGAAACGGAUAGAGUUAGCGUAUCUGAUCUGCAUUCAGCCAUUUGGUGGUUGAUAGCCUGGUGGUUGGCACCAGAUUGGGCUGAUACCGGGUGUUUUUGGCUGCCAAAUGGUGCAUUUGUAGGUCGAGUGCGUCGAGGCGUUCGGCAAAGUGGCAUGAUGCUGGUUUUGAGGCCAUUCCGCAAGGACAUGGUACCCAAAUUGGGGGAGUGCUAUUUUUGCUGGGCGAUCAAAGAGCAUGGCACACGGGUUUGGGUUUGUUUCAAGUUGGGUGCCGGUUACGGUCGCGUGCGACACGUGCCAGUCUCUGGUUUGAACGGAUCUCGGCUCCCGUGCUUGUCCUCGAUGUAAAAGCUGGUCAUCUAUCCGACCCGUCUUGAAACACGGACCAAGGAGUUUAGCGUGUUCGCGAGUCAUUGGGUAUUGAAAACCCAAGGGCGAAAUGAAAGUGAAGGUACUCGCAAGAGGCUGACGUGUGAUCCUGUGCACCUUGGUGUACAGGCGCAACAUGGCCCCGUCCCAAUUGCAUGCAAUGGGGCGGAGGCAGAGCGUAUGCGCUGAGACCCGAAAGAUGGUGAACUAUUCCUGAGCAGGAUGAAGCCAGAGGAAACUCUGGUGGAAGUCCGAAGCGAUUCUGACGUGCAAAUCGAUCGUCUGACUGGGUAUAGGGGCGAAAGUACUAAUCGAACCA
RNAcentral lists this ribosomal RNA (726 nucleotides) under Belonolaimus euthychilus. RNAcentral's name for it is "eukaryotic LSU rRNA". It matches the Rfam family "Eukaryotic large subunit ribosomal RNA", at positions 378 to 942 of the family's 3401-position model. The record is from RNAcentral. Lineage: Eukaryota; Metazoa; Nematoda; Chromadorea; Rhabditida; Belonolaimidae.